Molecule: long non-coding RNA, 3966 nt
Organism: Oncorhynchus tshawytscha (Chinook salmon)
Lineage: Eukaryota; Metazoa; Chordata; Actinopteri; Salmoniformes; Salmonidae
Source: Ensembl
AGGAAUGGAAAAUGACUUUAUUUCUUCUUCUUAAAAAAAAAAAAAGUAAAAUAAAAGCCCAUAAUUGAAUUAUAUUCUGAAACAUUUGUUUAGUAUUAUUUCCAUGCUUAAUAAAAUCAUUAUAUUUCUGCAUAAAUAAAUAAACAUUUACAAAGAGGGGGAAGAACGAGAAGAAUCAGAGACGAAGGUGUCAUUCUCUGAAUCAUUGACGACCAAUCAAUCGAUCAACAACUGAUCAAAUGGACAAUUCAUUGAUGGCCUGUAGACAUGCAGCCAAUCGUCUUCCUUCCUUCUCCAUACAUGAAAUCCCCCAUUGGGUAUUAUAUCAUAUUAUAUUUAUAUACCGCAUAAUGUAAUUAUCUCUCAGGUUCAGAAAAAUUUAACAAAAUAACAUAGCAGAUGUGUGUGUGUGUGUGUGUUUGUGGAUGCAGCCCAAAUGACAAUCUCUUCCCUACUGUACGUAGUUCACUAAGUAAUGCACUCUGUAGGGGACAGGCUGUCAUUUAGGAUGUAUAUUAUGUGUGUGUUUGUAUGUACAUAGUAAAUCACCAGGCAGCAGUCAGAAGAGUAGUUAUCCCAAAAAAAAUUACAUUUAGAAAAAAAUUCAUGUGCACAGGAAAAUCUUUGAACGAACACACCGACUGGAAAUGAGGGAAGUUAUGUUGUUUGUUUUGUUUUUAACAAAUAAAACAAAUACAUUUCAGGGAUUUAUCCAAAUGUAUCCAAUCAUAACCCCAAAAGCCUCCCCCAUUCCUUUGUGCGUUUCAGAUUGACUGACACGUAUCGGUCUCGUAUGAAAAGGAUCACACACAGAGGCUGCUCACUUACAGAUAGUAUCAAAAAGACCCAUUUCAAUAGGAGUCAAAGUAACAUGGCAUCUUUGGAAAAGUGGAUCAGGCUACACCCUUCAGACCAAUGCAUUUUGAGAAGACAGGAAUCAAGGAAAGACAAUUGAGAUUGGAUAGGUCUGUUUAGGUUAGGGGUACCGGUUCUUGUAGCAGGUUAGGUUAGGGGUACCGGUUCUUGUAGCAGGUUAGGUUAGGGGUACCGGUUCUUGUAGCAGGUUAGGUUAGGGGUACCAGUUCUUGUAGCAGGUUAGGUUAAGAGUGCCUUUUCAACACGGACACUUGAGCGAGUUGACAGGGUAGAUCAGAUCAUGCUUUUAACUAGCCUGGAAUCCAAGCUAAUAUGCUUACAGUCUUGUUUCACCAGUCUAGCUUUUAAGGUGUAGCGAGGACAACAAGACAUCAUGACCAUGUAUUCAUUGAGGAGAGAAGACUCUCCACGCUGUCACUCUCUCUGCCCUUCCACCACUUUGAAACCAGCUCAAAUUUACACAAAACACCUCCAUUUACAGGCAGGACUUAUUUUAUUAAUUGUUUUUCUGCAUGGAAUCCCAAAAAUAAUAAGUAAAGACAAACUGGAGAACACAAGAUGUGAUCAAUUCAGGAGAAAGGAGAGAAAAAAAUGUUUUGGGAGAUUUCACUUUUUUUUUUAUUUUUAUGGCAAACAAAAAGUUGUAUUCCAAAUGGCACCAGUUUCCCUAUAUAGUGCACUACUUUUGACCAGAGCCCUGUUCCCUAUAUAGUGCACUACUUUAGACCAGAGCCCUAUGGCUUAGGGUUGGUCCUAGAACUGCUACCCAGAGCUCCAUGCCCACCAGAUUCAGGGACUGUAUGAAUCCGGGGAGUCCAGAGAAGGGCAUCUGUUUUGGGCCACAAAGAUUGAGGAUAGCCCUUAACUUCCAAACCACCACUCAACAACCCCCCUUACAUAGGUGCUGCUAUAGCAAGGCUAUCCUUUAGACAAAGACACAUUUCAGAAAGACUACAGGCCUCAUCUUUCAUAAGGAUUAUAUAUCACCCUUAGCCAGCCGAUUGGCUAUCGAUGCAUAUAUAUUCCAAUCCAAGACAGUUUUAAAGUUUCCAGGAUUGAUGGACACUGUGGAGUGGGGACAUGCCCACUCACAGCAGAAGCAGUGAAGGCCAAUGACAGAGCCCAGAGAAACAGGAAGUUAGAUGGGGAUUCUAAAGCCGUAUCUAAAGGAGAACGAAGAAGAGACAGCACCUUGGGGGUAAUUCUAGAGCUGGGUCUACCUGACAGUAUACAAGGAGGGGGAUAUUUUAUAACUAUAAUCUACCCGGCACUGGAUGAGACCAGAGGAAGAAUCUAGAGCUGUACGUACUAGACAGGCAUUGGAGAGACCAGAGGAAGAAUCUAGAGCUGUACAUACUAGACAGGCAUUGAGAGACCAGAGGAAGAAUCUAGAGCUGUACAUACUAGACAGGCAUUGGAGAGACCAGAGGAAGAGAGUAACAGAGUUUCAUAAAAGGUGUUAUGUUAAUAUACAUCAUUAUCAUUUAGGUUUAUGACAUCUAAGCAGGUGUCUGGAGAGGUUGGACUUGCGAGCAAAGCUGAGAAAGCAGUACAUACUAGACAGGCAUUGGAGACCAGAGGAAGAAUCUAGAGCUGUAUGUACAUCAGGUAGCAUAGUCAUCAUAGACUUCAGCGCCAAGAUAUUAGCCUGGUCCCAGGUCUGUUUGUGCUUUUGCCUACUCUACUGUCAGCAUUUAGCAUGACAAUUACAUAAGAAGUUGGCAAGAGAGCACAGACCUGCUACCAAGAUCCAGGAAACAGACCUGCUACCAAGAUCCAGGAAACAGACCUGCUACCAAGAUCCAGGAAACAGACCUGCUACCAAGAUCCAGGAAACAGACCUGCUACCAAGAUCCAGGAAACAGACCUGCUACCAAGAUCCAGGAAACAGACCUGCUACCAAGAUCCAGGAAACAGAGCGAAAACAGCCCUGGGUGAGCAACACAUGAGCAGGAAAACACACCAAUGCGUUUUAUACAAGGGAAUUACGACAGUGGAAAUUGUGGCCAUUUGUCCAAAAGAUGUUAACCCCACACCUAUUUCACCUGAGCCCCAAUAGUUACACUGACAUCCUUUCAUAAAGCAAUCUGGGAACUAGAGUGUUAUCAAACCAGUAGUGGCUUGUCCAUUUUACACUCCAUGUGUCCCAAAAAGUAUUUAACAAUAAAGUAACCCUUGGCAAUAAGGUUCAGAAUGUGAACCAGUAACAACCUGGACACAGACUGUUCAGAACACCGUGAAACACCGUGAAACACCGUGAAACACCAUUAUGGGAGUUGUCUUACACUCAACAAGACAUCAUCCCUUGACACCAGAAGUUACUUGGACAUCCUUUCAUAUGACAUCUUGAAAUUUGGGAGGAAAAUUGACAGAGCAUUGCUUUAGAACAAUACAUAACGAGUAAUGACAUUAUGAUUAAAAAAAUAUAUAAAAAUAAAAAUUGACAUUAUUACCACCAGAAUUAUCCCAGAAAAAUCUAACAUUGUUCAGUAUGUGUUUCUGCAUGUGUAUGUGUGUGUAACGUGCUACAUGCAUGUGUGUACAUCUGUAUGUACACGUUAUUGCAUGCCUGUGUGUGUGUGUGUGUGUGUGUGUGUGUGUGUGUGUGUGUGUAAGCAUGAAUCCGUCAAAAUUCGAGGGCACAGCAGGAUGAGGAAACUGUUUUUACAAGAUACAGACGCAGUAGAGAGGAGGGGAUAGAAACAUUUUACAUCAGGAAUGUUCCCAAAUGGCAACCUAUUCUCUAAAUACUGUAGGCCCCUACUUUUAACCAGGGCCCUUAGGGCAGUAGUGCACUUUUAACCAGGGCCCUUAGGGCAGUAGUGCACUUGAUAGGGAACAGGGUGCCAUUUCAGAUGCGCUCAACAGUUCUCUAGCUCUCUCCAUGGACAGACAACAAUACAUAAGAAGCAGCCGAGAGUUGGGAGGAUGGUGAGGGUAGAGGGGUGUCCUUAAUGUUUUCUAUGCAGUCUGAUUGAUGGAUGAUGGUGAGGGUAGAGGGGUGUCCUUAAUGUUUUCUAUCCAGUCUGAUGGUAGAAUGAUGGUGAGGGUAGAGGGGUGUCCUUAAUGUUUUCUAUCCAGUCUGAUGGU